This 1760-nucleotide long non-coding RNA is filed under the name Triticum aestivum (bread wheat). Its description in RNAcentral is "long non-coding RNA (TAES_LNC006216)". Lineage: Eukaryota; Viridiplantae; Streptophyta; Magnoliopsida; Poales; Poaceae. The record is from RNAcentral.
GGUUCCAAUAAACACAUGAUACACUUUUAAAAGGCAUAGAAGUUUCUUCAAAAUUUAGGCAAUUACUCAAAUUUGAGGAGUUAUCCUACAGUAUGUCAAAAUGAAACUGCUAAUUAUUAAGUUCCAUAUGUAUUUUGUCUCACUUAUUGUCAAUAGAAGGCACUGAAAAGUAGUUCACAAAUAACUGAUGGACAGGUUUAGUUUAUUUUCAAGAGGGCAUCAUGUUGCCAAGAAAGUUGCUGCUCACCCUAUUUUGACAACCAGAAAAAUGCAAUUCUAUUUGAGAAAGUAAAUUUAGGAUUUUUUUAGGGUGCAUCUAUUCAGCGAACAUGUGUGUAACAACAGGUUAACUAGAUGAUACCCCACACGUUGUUGCGGAAAUAUUUUGCAAUACAUUUCAAAGAUAUUUGAUUGUAUGUGACAUGAAUAUUUGAAAUAAUAAUGUGAAAACUAAAACUGAAAAUAUGUUUGGUUUAUUGUGUUUCACAAUUGUAUAGUUGUAAAGAAUUCAGUAAAUAUAAAUAGCAUAAUAGAAUGAAAAAUGGCAUUCAUAACUGCAUAUUGAGGUGGGCCUUUUUCUAUGCAUGAUUGCAUGUAGAAGUGAGCAUUUGUUUCAUGAUGAGGUGGCAUGCUUGCAUGUUGAGAGAAAUAGGUUAGUGGGGGCUAGCUAUUUAGAUAUAGAAGAUUUGAAAGGUAGAAGCAAUGUUUGGUCUGUGAUAGAUAGAUGAGUGUGUUUAACUUUUGAUUUUUUUACAAACAGAUUGUAGAAUGCCUCCUAGCAUUGGUUCUUUGACCUUGGAUCAAUUUACUCUGCGCUUACAUGAUAUAUUGCUUCUAGCCGAUGAAAUUUAGUCCACAUUUGUGUGCGUAUGCAUAUCCUAUACUGGAAUUGUGCUUGCCCAUUAUAUAUUAGAAGUAGACAAGAAAAUGUCCAUAGUAAUAAACUUGCGGUCACAGGACUGCUAGCUUAAAGUUUGUUAGAUUAUAUAAAUGGGUAAUUUUGUUGUCUGCUCUUUAGGUUUCCAUAGUAUGAGCUGGUGCUAUUGCUUUUAAACUGCCAUGUAAACUGAACAAUGGGGCUUCAUGUAUAAACUGGAGCAAUAAUAUCCUAUUACUUCUCAUGUAAUGGAUCAAUUGUGUGUCUUGGUCUUUCCUGUUUUCUUUGGUUUUGCAGCCUAGAAUUUUUUCAUGCGCAUAUAUAGCUACUUAAUCAACUGAGUUCCUUUAUGAUGUGUGGCAGACAACAUUUACUGAUAUGACUUACUUUCUCAUUCUAGAUAAUGGCAGGUGUAGCAAUGAAAGGCAUAUAUAUUUUAUUACGAGCAUCCUAGCUUUCUCAUCUUAUUAGCGACUCACUUUCGAAACAUAUGUAUUGGUAGUUUUUAUCUCUAUGCUUUUGCCUUCUACAUAAUGGAUUGCAAUGUUUUUGUCUUGAUCCAAUCCUUCCUGCGCCCAUGGGGUGUCCUGCAGGGACUGCUUUGGCUGUUCCAGAGGCCGUACACACAUAUAAAUACACAACUACUCCCUCGACCGAAGCCCAGCCCAAUUGUGUUGUUUCGUCGUGCUCGACAUUGGUGUCUUGCCAUUCUGCCGAAGCCAUGGAAAUCUCGCUGUUCUGCCAGCCUGGUAGGAAUUUCUCCAUAUUGCCGACUUCACCGGAAUUACAUCCGCCAGUGUAGCCAAGGCACAUCGUUCAAACUGCUCGAGCAAUACUGAUUUGGAGAUGUUUUGGUCAAGCGGUUGAACUGAACCAUGCUACU